RNAcentral lists this ribosomal RNA (253 nucleotides) under uncultured bacterium. RNAcentral describes it as "partial 16S ribosomal RNA". It matches the Rfam family "Bacterial small subunit ribosomal RNA", at positions 524 to 776 of the family's 1533-position model. The record is from RNAcentral.
UACGUAGGGUGCUAGCGUUGUUCGGAAUUAUUGGGCGUAAAGCGCGUGUAGGUGGUUAGAAAAGUUGGUUGUGAAAUCCCUGGGCUUAACCCAGGAAGUGCAUCCAAAACUCUCUAGCUAGAGGGCGAGAGAGGGAGGUGGAAUUCCUAGUGUAGAGGUGAAAUUCGUAGAUAUUGGGAAGAACACCGGUGGCGAAGGCGGCUCACUGGCCCGUUUCUGACGCUCAGGCGCGAUAGCGUGGGGAUCAAACAGG